CGCUAGUACCGAUUGAAUGGCUUAGUGAGGCCUCAGGAUCUGCUUAGAGGAGGGGGCAACUCCAUCUCAGAGCGGAGAAUUUGGACAAACUUGGUCAUUUAGAGGAACUAAAAGUCGUAACAAGGUU
RNAcentral lists this ribosomal RNA (127 nucleotides) under Ice core clone 111-10. Its description in RNAcentral is "partial 18S ribosomal RNA". It matches the Rfam family "Eukaryotic small subunit ribosomal RNA", at positions 1677 to 1801 of the family's 1831-position model. RNAcentral also lists the same sequence under 1 other name. The record is from RNAcentral.